Molecule: transfer RNA, 77 nt
Filed under: Escherichia coli
Lineage: Bacteria; Pseudomonadati; Pseudomonadota; Gammaproteobacteria; Enterobacterales; Enterobacteriaceae
Also listed under: 1 other name
Description: tRNA-Asp
Rfam family: tRNA
About the family: Transfer RNA (tRNA) molecules are approximately 80 nucleotides in length. Their secondary structure includes four short double-helical elements and three loops (D, anti-codon, and T loops). Further hydrogen bonds mediate the characteristic L-shaped molecular structure. tRNAs have two regions of fundamental functional importance: the anti-codon, which is responsible for specific mRNA codon recognition, and the 3' end, to which the tRNAs corresponding amino acid is attached (by aminoacyl-tRNA synthetases). tRNAs cope with the degeneracy of the genetic code in two manners: having more than one tRNA (with a specific anti-codon) for a particular amino acid; and 'wobble' base-pairing, i.e. permitting non-standard base-pairing at the 3rd anti-codon position.
Source: RNAcentral
GGAGCGGUAGUUCAGUCGGUUGGAAUACCUGCCUGUCACGCAGGGGGUCGCGGGUUCGAGUCCCGUCCGUUCCGCCA